This 903-nucleotide ribosomal RNA is filed under the name Metacrinia nichollsi (Nicholl's toadlet). Its description in RNAcentral is "partial 16S ribosomal RNA". It matches the Rfam family "Bacterial large subunit ribosomal RNA", at positions 1082 to 2597 of the family's 2925-position model. Lineage: Eukaryota; Metazoa; Chordata; Amphibia; Anura; Myobatrachidae. The record is from RNAcentral.
CGCCCCCCCCCGAAUAAGUAGGCCUAAAAGCAGCCACCUUUAAAACAGCGUCAAAGCUUUCACGCAACACCAACCAAAUACCCUCCCCCAACCAGAACCCGUAAACACUAUUGAGUGAUCCUAUGAUCUUAUAGGAAACCCCAUGCUAGAAUAAGUAACACGAGGGGCAGCCCCCUCUCUACAGCACAAGUGUACAUCAGAACAGACAACCUACUGAUAAUUAACGCCCCUGAAAAACGACAGCAACUCAACAAGAAAACACUGCCCUCCUCCCCCGUUAACCUAACACAAGACUGCCUUUAGAAAGAUUCAAAGAAGUGGAAGGAACUCGGCAAACUACAAGCCCCGCCUGUUUACCAAAAACAUCGCCUCUUGAUUUAAUAAGAGGUCUAGCCUGCCCAGUGACUCAAUUCAACGGCCGCGGUAUCCUGACCGUGCGAAGGUAGCGUAAUCACUUGUUCUUUAAAUAAGGACUAGUAUGAAUGGCAUUACGAGGGUUUUACUGUCUCCCACCUCCAAUCAGUGAAAUUAAUCUCCCCGUGAAGAAGCGGGGAUAAAGCUAUAAGACGAGAAGACCCCAUGGAGCUUAAAACAAAAGGCACCGCUAACCCCCCCCCCAGUUAAGCAUCCUGACCCUUAGUUUUUGGUUGGGGCGACCGCGGAGAAAAACCCCCCCUCCACGCUGAACUACACCAAGCUAAGAGCUACUACUCUAAGCAUCAACACCUUGACAUCCCUUGACCCAAUCUUAUUGACCAACGAACCAAGUUACCCUGGGGAUAACAGCGCAAUCUACUUCAAGAGCCCCUAUCGACAAGUAGGUUUACGACCUCGAUGUUGGAUCAGGGUACCCAAGUGGUGCAGCCGCUGCUAAUGGUUCGUUUGUUCAACGAUUAAAACCCU